GUGCUCACUUUGGCAGCACAUAUACUAAAAUAGGAACAAUACAGAGAAGAUUAUCAUGGCCUCUGCACAAAGAUGACACAUAAAUUUGUGAAGUAUUUCAUAUUUUU
Molecule: small nuclear RNA, 107 nt
Organism: Homo sapiens (human)
Lineage: Eukaryota; Metazoa; Chordata; Mammalia; Primates; Hominidae
Source: Ensembl